UACGUAGGGUGCAAGCGUUAAUCGGAAUUACUGGGCGUAAAGCGUGCGCAGGCGGUUUGAUAAGCCGGAUGUGAAAUCCCCGGGCUCAACCUGGGAACUGCGUUUGGAACUGUCAGACUAGAGUGCGGCAGAGGGGGGUGGAAUUCCGCGUGUAGCGGUGAAAUGCGUAGAGAUGCGGAGGAACACCGAUGGCGAAGGCAGCCCCCUGGCCUGACACUGACGCUCAUGCGCGAAAGCGUGGGGAGCAAACAGG
RNAcentral lists this ribosomal RNA (253 nucleotides) under uncultured bacterium. RNAcentral describes it as "partial 16S ribosomal RNA". It matches the Rfam family "Bacterial small subunit ribosomal RNA", at positions 524 to 776 of the family's 1533-position model. The record is from RNAcentral.